RNAcentral lists this ribosomal RNA (292 nucleotides) under uncultured bacterium. RNAcentral's name for it is "partial 16S ribosomal RNA". It matches the Rfam family "Bacterial small subunit ribosomal RNA", at positions 505 to 796 of the family's 1533-position model. The record is from RNAcentral.
GUGCCAGCAGCCGCGGUAAUACGGAGGGGGCUAGCGUUGUUCGGAAUUACUGGGCGUAAAGCGCACGUAGGCGGACUGGAAAGUCAGGGGUGAAAUCCCGGGGCUCAACCCCGGAACUGCCUUUGAAACUCCCAGUCUUGAGGUCGAGAGAGGUGAGUGGAAUUCCGAGUGUAGAGGUGAAAUUCGUAGAUAUUCGGAGGAACACCAGUGGCGAAGGCGGCUCACUGGCUCGAUACUGACGCUGAGGUGCGAAAGCGUGGGGAGCAAACAGGAUUAGAAACCCUCGUAGUCC